RNAcentral lists this ribosomal RNA (620 nucleotides) under uncultured archaeon. Its description in RNAcentral is "bacterial SSU rRNA". It matches the Rfam family "Archaeal small subunit ribosomal RNA", at positions 239 to 859 of the family's 1478-position model. The record is from RNAcentral.
GGGUAAUGGCCCACCAAGCCGAUGAUCGGUACGGGUUGUGAGAGCAAGGGCCCGGAGAUGGAACCUGAGACAAGGUUCCAGACCCUACGGGGUGCAGCAGGCGCGAAACCUCCGCAAUGUACGAAAGUGCGACGGGGGGAUCCCAAGUGUUAUGCUUUUUUGUAUGACUUUUCAUUAGUGUAAAAAGCUUUUAGAAUAAGAGCUGGGCAAGACCGGUGCCAGCCGCCGCGGUAACACCGGCAGCUCGAGUGGUAGCUGUUUUUAUUGGGCCUAAAGCGUUCGUAGCCGGUUUGAUAAGUCUUUGGUGAAAGCUUGUAGCUUAACUAUAAGAAUUGCUGGAGAUACUAUUAGACUUGAAGUCGGGAGAGGUUAGAGGUACUACCGGGGUAGGGGUGAAAUCCUAUAAUCCUGGGAGGACCACCUGUGGCGAAGGCGUCUAACUGGAACGAUCUUGACGGUGAGUAACGAAAGCCAGGGGCGCGAACCGGAUUAGAUACCCGGGUAGUCCUGGCCGUAAACGAUGUGGACUUGGUGUUGGAAUGGCUUUGAGUUGUUCCGGUGCCGAAGGGAAGCUGUUAAGUCCACCGCCUGGGAAGUACGGUCGCAAGACUGAAACUUAA